GACGAACGCUGGCGGCGUGCCUAAUACAUGCAAGUUGAGCGCUGAAGGUUGGUACUUGUACCCACUGGAUGAGCAGCGAACGGGUGAGUAACGCGUGGGGAAUCUGCCUUUGAGCGGGGGACAACAUUUGGAAACGAAUGCUAAUACCGCAUAAAAACUUUAAACACAAGUUUUAAGUUUGAAAGAUGCAAUUGCAUCACUCAAAGAUGAUCCCGCGUUGUAUUAGCUAGUUGGUGAGGUAAAGGCUCACCAAGGCGAUGAUACAUAGCCGACCUGAGAGGGUGAUCGGCCACAAUGGGACUGGGACACGGCCCAAACUCCUACGGGAGGCAGCAGGAGGGGAACUUCGGCAAUGGACGAAAGUCUGACCGAGCAACGCCGCGUGAGUGAAGAAGGUUUUCGGAUCGUAAAACUCUGUUGGUAGAGAAGAACGUUGGUGAGAGUGGAAAGCUCAUCAAGUGACGGUAACUACCCAGAAAGGGACGGCUAACUACGUG
This 497-nucleotide ribosomal RNA is filed under the name uncultured bacterium. RNAcentral describes it as "partial 16S ribosomal RNA". It matches the Rfam family "Bacterial small subunit ribosomal RNA", at positions 28 to 507 of the family's 1533-position model. The record is from RNAcentral.